RNAcentral lists this long non-coding RNA (1485 nucleotides) under Homo sapiens (human). Its description in RNAcentral is "HSALNT0363811". The record is from RNAcentral. Lineage: Eukaryota; Metazoa; Chordata; Mammalia; Primates; Hominidae.
CUCGGGACCCGGAAGGAGGGAGAGGCGAGAGGGCUGGCUUGCCUGGGACGGGGGCAUGGGGACUGCUGUGCGGGGAUUGCGGGGGUCACGGGGAAGGAGCAGGGGCCAGUGUAGGAAAAGAAGCCGGGGCGAGGCAAGGUGGAGGAUAUCCGGGGUCAGGGGUCCCAGGGACGCUGGAGCGAGCCCUCCUGAGUGGUGGGAUGCCACCGACACCUUGCUUCUCCCUAGCUUCUAGUGCUCGGCGCUCAGAGAGGCAGGAUCUUGCUCUGUUGGCCAGGCUGGAGUGCAGUGGCAUGAUCAUAGCUCACUGUAACCUCAAACUCUUGGGCUCAAGUGAUCCUUUCACCUCAGCCUCCCAAGUAGCAAGGACUACAGGUACUCACCACCACACUCAGCUCAUUUUUCUUUUUUUUGGUACAGAUGGGGUCUCACUAUGUUGCCCAGGCUGGUCUUUUCCUGGCCUCAAGCAAUCCUCCUGCCUCAGCUUCCCUAAGUGCUGGGAUUACAGGUGUGAACUACUGAGCCUGGCUAUUCUUUUUUGAUACUAGCCAAAACUUGACAAGUGCUGUUUUUUUUUUUUGAAGGUUAGUUGUGAUUAGAAUCUGAAAUCUAGCCGGGCGCAGUGGCUCAUGCCUGUAAUCCCAGCACUUUGGGAGGCUGAGGUGGGUGGAUCACGAGGUCAGGAGUUCGAGACCAGCUUGGCCAAUAUGGUGAAACCCCGUCUCUACUAAAAAUACAAAAAUUAGCUGGGCAUGGUGGCGCCUGCCUGUAGUCCCAGCUGCUCGGGAGGCUGAGGCAGGAGAAUCUCUUGAACCCGGGAGGCGGAGGUUGCAGUGAGCCAAGAUUCUGCCACUGCACUCAGUCUCAAAAAAAAAAAAAAAAAUCUGAAAUCCUAUCAAUGAAAUUUUUAUGUUCAAUUACAUUAAAAUACAUUAGACUCUUUCGCAUUUUGGAUAUAUCUUUUGCCCAAGCAUGAUGUUAUAACUUAAUGCACUGGCUGUUUGGAAAAAAAUGGUUCACCAAGUUAUGCAGGUCUUUCAAAUAUUGACAAAUAUUAGUAUACUAUGUUUUAAAAAUCACAUUAGUUAAUAUCAACACCGAUCUCAUCAGAGAAGUCUUUAAGUAUUGGGAAGCUGCCAAGGUCACAGUGGUGAACACAAGGUUUCUAAAAUUCCAAUUUUCACUUGAGCUUGGGUUUCAUCAUUAGCAAUAAAUACUGUCAGUUUGCUGUGAAAUGACAGAUUCAUUUUAUUCAUUCUUGAGAAAAUGUCUGCCAGAGACUCAAGUCUGCAUAAGCAUAAUUUAUCUGUCAGUAUUUCUUUCAGGUCAAAAUGGUGUUCCAUGAAAAAAAAAAAGUGACUAGUUAAGCUCACAGUUCAAACAAGUGCAAAUGCUUUUCUGGAGACAACCAUUGUGCUGCAUCGGAUAUGGCAGAAGUGCUCUAUGUUGCUUCCCAGAAUAUUAAAAAGAUGUAUACUCAAGGAC